CCAGCCAAGGAGGUGUCACUGCCCAGCACUCGGGUGCUAGGCGGUUUCACCGCCCAGCCAGGCGGUUCCACCGCCUGGCUUUCCGAUUCAUUGGUUUGGCUUAAUUUUCGCCCAAACCAAAUCUGACUUUGGGCCCAGUUGGCCCCUAACCAGGAUAUAGGAUUAUCUCUUAAUCCUAAUCCUAAUUACAGGUGAACUACAUAAC
RNAcentral lists this long non-coding RNA (205 nucleotides) under Musa acuminata (dwarf banana). RNAcentral describes it as "long non-coding RNA (MACU_LNC007184)". Lineage: Eukaryota; Viridiplantae; Streptophyta; Magnoliopsida; Zingiberales; Musaceae. The record is from RNAcentral.